RNAcentral lists this ribosomal RNA (726 nucleotides) under [Eubacterium] sulci. Its description in RNAcentral is "partial 23S ribosomal RNA". It matches the Rfam family "Bacterial large subunit ribosomal RNA", at positions 1513 to 2249 of the family's 2925-position model. Lineage: Bacteria; Bacillati; Bacillota; Clostridia; Peptostreptococcales; Anaerovoracaceae. The record is from RNAcentral.
GCAAGCAGGAGAGUGGCGUAGGCAAAUCCGCGCCGGAUACUCAAAGGCUUGACUCAAGCGAACGCGCGAGCAAGUAGUGAAGAGGGCGAUACCAGGUCUCAAGAAAAGCUUCUAGCGAUAAUUUACUAGCGGCCCGUACCAAAACCGACACAGGUGGUUGAGGCGAGUAGCCUAAGGUGAGCGAGAGAACUGUUGCCAAGGAACUCGGCAAAUUGACCCCGUACGUUAGCAAUAAGGGGUGCUCGAAAGAGCCGCAGUGAAUAGGCCCUAGCAACUGUUUAACUAAAACAUAGCUCUCUGCGAAGUCGCAAGACGAAGUAUAGGGGGUGACACCUGCCCGGUGCUGGAAGGUCAAGGGGAUUUGUCAGACGCAAGUCGAAGCAUUGAACCGAAGCCCCAGUGAACGGCGGCCGUAACUAUAACGGUCCUAAGGUAGCGAAAUUCCUUGUCAGGUAAGUUCUGACCCGCACGAAAGGUGUAAUGAUUUGGGCACUGUCUCGGCAGCAGACUCGGUGAAAUCUUAGUACCUGUGAAGAUGCAGGUUACCCGCAACUAGACGGAAAGACCCCAUGGAGCUUUACUGUAGUCUGCUAUUGAGUUUCGGUUAAGUAUGCACAGGAUAGGUGGGAGACGAUGAGACUGGUCUUUUGGGAUCAGAGGAGUCACUGUUGGGAUACCACUCUUACUUAAUUGAAAUUCUAACUCUAAGCCGUGAUCCGGCUAGAG